AUUGAACGCUGGCGGCAGGCCUAACACAUGCAAGUCGAGCGGCAGCGGGAAAGUAGCUUGCUACUUUUGCCGGCGAGCGGCGGACGGGUGAGUAAUGCCUGGGAAAUUGCCCAGUCGAGGGGGAUAACAGUUGGAAACGACUGCUAAUACCGCAUACGCCCUACGGGGGAAAGCAGGGGACCUUCGGGCCUUGCGCGAUUGGAUAUGCCCAGGUGGGAUUAGCUAGUUGGUGAGGUAAUGGCUCACCAAGGCGACGAUCCCUAGCUGGUCUGAGAGGAUGAUCAGCCACACUGGAACUGAGACACGGUCCAGACUCCUACGGGAGGCAGCAGUGGGGAAUAUUGCACAGUGGGGAAACCCUGAUGCAGCCAUGCCGCGUGUGUGAAGAAGGCCUUCGGGUUGUAAAGCACUUUCAGCGAGGAGGAAAGGUCAGUAGCUAAUAUCUGCUGGCUGUGACGUUACUCGCAGAAGAAGCACCGGCUAACUCCGUG
Molecule: ribosomal RNA, 491 nt
Filed under: uncultured bacterium
Lineage: Bacteria
Description: partial 16S ribosomal RNA
Rfam family: Bacterial small subunit ribosomal RNA
Source: RNAcentral